UGACUAGAUUUUACACUCACUAA
Molecule: microRNA, 23 nt
Filed under: Daphnia magna
Lineage: Eukaryota; Metazoa; Arthropoda; Branchiopoda; Diplostraca; Daphniidae
Source: RNAcentral